Molecule: ribosomal RNA, 253 nt
Filed under: uncultured bacterium
Lineage: Bacteria
Description: partial 16S ribosomal RNA
Rfam family: Bacterial small subunit ribosomal RNA
Source: RNAcentral
UACGUAGGGCGCAAGCGUUGUCCGGAAUUAUUGGGCGUAAAGAGCUCGUAGGCGGCUUGUCACGUCGGGUGUGAAAGCCCGGGGCUUAACCCCGGGUCUGCAUUCGAUACGGGCUAGCUAGAGUGUGGUAGGGGAGAUCGGAAUUCCUGGUGUAGCGGUGAAAUGCGCAGAUAUCAAGUGGAACACCAGUGGCGAAUGCGAGUCUCUGGACAUUUCCUGACGCUGAGGCACGAAAGCCAGGGGAGCGAACGGG